GACUGUGCUAAGGUAGCAUAAUCAUUUGGCCUUUAAUUGGGGUCUGGUAUGAAUGGAAAAACGUAGGAAUAACUGUCUUUAUUUAAAAUUAAGUUGAACUUGGUUAUUAAGGUGAAAAUACCUUAAAUAAAACAAUAGACGAGAAGACCCUUAGACCUUUUAUAAAUUUAUAAUUAUUUAUAUUACAUUUUUGUUGGGGCGACAUUGUAUCAAAUACUUUUAAGAUUAACAUACAUUAAUAAUUUUUAUUUCUACCUACUUGUAGUAUUAAUAAAUAAGGUACCUGAGGGAUAACAGCAUUAUUAUAUUAUUUACAUUGUGACCUCGAUGUUGGACUAGGA
This 341-nucleotide ribosomal RNA is filed under the name Bostryx conspersus. RNAcentral describes it as "partial 16S ribosomal RNA". Lineage: Eukaryota; Metazoa; Mollusca; Gastropoda; Stylommatophora; Orthalicidae. The record is from RNAcentral.